This 1373-nucleotide long non-coding RNA is filed under the name Homo sapiens (human). RNAcentral describes it as "non-protein coding lnc-KCNMB2-14:4". Lineage: Eukaryota; Metazoa; Chordata; Mammalia; Primates; Hominidae. The record is from RNAcentral.
GGCAUUAUCUAAGAGAGGAGCACUCCGGCUGCCCAAGAAAGGGCCUGAACUGGGAGCUUGGCGGCCUCGGGGAGGGGCGGCUGCUCAGAGCCAGGCCUUUCCCUAGUGGGGAGGGCAUCUGCAAGGCACAAAUUAGAAACAGACUAUGAGCUUUUGCUUCACUAAAUGCAGAUGCACUUUAGAUAUCGAUACAUGCUUCAUUUUGCCUUCGGGUGCACUUAUAAAUCAUCCUUAAGUGACCUCUAUUUCUACCAAAGACAUCCACUUGGUCUUUAAGAAGCAUUCUUAGUGAUCCUCACAAAGGAAAAAAAAAAAAAGGAGAUAUCUUCUGUGACAGGAAGCCAAAGGCUGAUUUUCUUUUUUUUUUUUUUGAGACUCUUGGAGUGUGUGUGUGUGUGUGUGUGUGUGUGUGUGUGUGUGCGCGCGCGCGCGCGCGAUUCUCUGUUAUGUAAUCGCCAUCACGGGUGAUUAGGUCUUCUAGGUCUUUCCCUCCAGGGCUGAACUGGAUGGUUUGGUUGCUGUGUUUUUCUUAAGCCUCACACAGGGCAAACACACAUGAAAAACAUGUCCCAGAUUUAUGGCGCAAAACUGCUCUCCAAGCAAAUUGCCUUAGAAGACUGUCUCGGUUUUGGAGGAAGGAAAUAGAUGAAUUUGUUGCUAAUUAAGACUCCUUAUCUUACUACUCUGGCAUUUCCUUUUUUCUAGAACGAAUUUUUAAAAAUAAUUUUAUGUAGUUUAGAUGUUCCCUCCCUUCCCCCUUGCUGUAAUGGUACUUGAAAUAGCUUAAAUAACUAAUUGUAUAGACAACUGUACUUUUGUUCUACACACACACACACACACACACACACACACCAGUUAACGUGAAAGGCAGUAACUCAUACAACAUGGUACCUUUUCUGUUUGGCCAUACAGACUGUUUCCUUCUUUACACACACAGGGCUGAUCUCAUUUAAAUUCUCUUAGCAUCUUAAAUUGCAAAAAAUGGCAGCCAGCUGAAAACUGGCUACCUGGAGAAUUACAAGGGGAGAGAGCUGUUCUUUGGCCUCAUCUUAAUCUCUCUGUACCUCAAGCAGGGAGUCCAUCUCUGAUAAAAGUCUUUAGAGCUCCCCAGGAGGAAGCGAAGCAGACAUGUUUUUCAACAAUGUAACAAUUUCCCUAUGUGUACUUGAUCAUUUCGGGAGAACUUGUAGUAGAUUAUGACUACUUCCCUCCAGAUGGUCUGACGGAAAAACUCUCCCACCAGACUUGCACUUCUAAAAUCACUUCCCCAGGCCUGGCCCUCCCACCCCACCCCCAUUUCCCCUUUCGGAGGUGCAGGCAGCUGGGGAGGCCUGGAACACCAGACCUCCAAGAUGGCCCAGCAUGUGUUGAGU